Long non-coding RNA from Cebus imitator (Panamanian white-faced capuchin), 770 nucleotides. RefSeq lists it as uncharacterized. The record is from RefSeq and is a predicted model, not a curated record. NCBI's taxonomy places the organism in Eukaryota, Metazoa, Chordata, Mammalia, Primates, Cebidae. The transcript is spliced from 4 exons.
UCUCCCGGCAGAGGGAGAUUAAGUCCUUCACUCCCGGGAGCUGUCUGGGAAGCACAUCCCAGUGUGCACCGGAGCAGCUAUGCAUACGUCGUUUUACCCAUGAGAAAACUGAGGUUCCGAAGGGACAGAGCCAGGAUGUGAGCCUAGAUCUAUUAACACCUGUGAAUCCUGUGCUCUUUUCCACCAUUCUUGCUGCCAAUUCCUCACAUUUUCAUGCCUCCCGACUUCUUACGGUGCCCGCCAUGUUCCCAGCUGCUGCCUGAACUUAUCAAAGUGGACCCAAUGAAAGCUGUGUUGAGGAGGAUUAUUCUGGUGCUGAGGCUGGGUACAUUGGUGAGGCCAGGAACCUGGGACUGAAUUCCAAGCAGAGAACCAGAAGAGCUGUACAGAAAUCCAGGCAAGGGCCAAGAAGAACUUUGGAGAUGCCCAGAGCAUUUGAAACUGAACUUCACUUGGUGAUCUGGGCCUCCAGUCUGCCAUUUGCCCUGCUGUCUUCCAGUCUGUGGAAGUGAUGGGAGGGAAGCAUGUCAGCAGUAAAUUACUCUAUGCUACACCUCCUUUGCUGUGUGUCUCCUAUUUAAAUUAUUUUAAGCCAAGAAGACAAGAACCAAGGUAUCACAUCAGCAAUCAACAGGAGCUGCUGAUCUCUAGGCUUGCUCAGAAUUGUGAAGUUCUUGGCUGAUCUCAUUAGCGGUCAUUUAGCUUUGGUGUAUAGGACAAGUAGGAGAUUAUUAAUCUGGUAAAUUAAAAUAACACUUUGGGCUGAGUGU